RNAcentral lists this ribosomal RNA (253 nucleotides) under uncultured bacterium. Its description in RNAcentral is "partial 16S ribosomal RNA". It matches the Rfam family "Bacterial small subunit ribosomal RNA", at positions 524 to 776 of the family's 1533-position model. The record is from RNAcentral.
UACGUAGGGGGCAAGCGUUGUCCGGAAUUACUGGGCGUAAAGCGUGCGCAGGCGGUUUUGUAAGCCAGAUGUGAAAGCCCCGGGCUUAACCUGGGAAUGGCAUUUGGGACUGCAAGGCUUGAGUGCGGCAGAGGAGACUGGAAUUCCUGGUGUAGCAGUGAAAUGCGUAGAUAUCAGGAGGAAUACCGAUGGCGAAGGCAGGUCUCUGGGCUGACACUGACGCUCAUGCACGAAAGCGUGGGGAGCAAACAGG